RNAcentral lists this ribosomal RNA (442 nucleotides) under uncultured bacterium. RNAcentral's name for it is "partial 16S ribosomal RNA". It matches the Rfam family "Bacterial small subunit ribosomal RNA", at positions 338 to 795 of the family's 1533-position model. The record is from RNAcentral.
CCUACGGGUGGCAGCAGUGGGGGAUAUUGCACAAUGGGGGAAACCCUGAUGCAGCGACGCCGCGUGGGAGAAGAAGUAUUUCGGGAUGUAAAGCCCUAUCAGCAGGGAAGAAGAAAUGACGGUACCUGAGUAAGAAGCACAGGCUAAAGACGUGCCAGCAGCCGCGGUAAUACGUAGGGUGCAAGCGUUAUCCGGAUUUACUGGGUGUAAAGGGAGAGCAGGCGGCACGGCAAGCGUGAUGGGAAAGCCCGCGGCCCAACCGCGGGACUGCAUUUGGAACUACCGGGCUGGAGUGCCGGAGAGGUAGGCGGAUUUCCUAGUGUAGCGGUGAAAUGCGUAGAUAUUAGGCGGAACACCAGUGGCGAAGGCUGCCUACUGGACGGUGACUGACGCUGAUGCUCGAAAGCGUGGGGAGCAAACAGGAUUAGAUACCCCAGUAGUC